UACGGGAGGCAGCAGUGGGGAAUAUUGGGCAAUGGGCGAAAGCCUGAACCAGCCAAGUAGCGUGCAGGAUGACGGCCCUAUGGGUUGUAAACUGCUUUUAUACAGGGAUAAAGUGCGCCACGUGUGGCGUUUUGUAGGUACUGUAUGAAUAAGGACCGGCUAAUUCCGUGCCAGCAGCCGCGGUAAU
RNAcentral lists this ribosomal RNA (187 nucleotides) under uncultured rumen bacterium. RNAcentral's name for it is "partial 16S ribosomal RNA". It matches the Rfam family "Bacterial small subunit ribosomal RNA", at positions 340 to 524 of the family's 1533-position model. The record is from RNAcentral.